This 49-nucleotide ribosomal RNA is filed under the name Blautia sp. TM10-2. RNAcentral's name for it is "partial 23S ribosomal RNA". The record is from RNAcentral. Lineage: Bacteria; Bacillati; Bacillota; Clostridia; Lachnospirales; Lachnospiraceae.
GGUCAAGCAUUAAGAGCGCAGGGUGGAUGCCUUGGCACUGAGAGCCGAU